GUCCUGCAGGAGGAGUCGGCGGCCACCCCCGUGCGCCCCGCCGCCCGCCUGCGCCCGGCAGAGGCGCCGCGGUGCGCCCUGGGACUAGCCGCCGCCCUGCUCCGGGCCUCGCUCCCUGACUGGAGAGGGAGGGGCCGCGCCGUCGCUCAGCGACCCGGCCUCCCCGCCGCCGACCCCGCCGGAAACCUCGGUCCUCACGGUGCUUCCCGGUCUGCUGCUCCCCCGACCCCAGGCCCACGGCACGGCGUCCCCCUUCGCGCGGCCUACGCAGCCUCGGGGUAGCGUGUGGCCUCCACCCGGCCGGUCCGCUUCGCUGGCAGCCGCAACUUCCCGUCUGCACCCAGCUAGGUCCCGCGGCUACCCGAGAGGAACGAAGUAUUGGGACAAUGUGAACGUAGUCGCCGCCGAUUCCCACCGCACUUCAAAGAUGUGGGAACGCCAAGAUCCGCGGAAGUAACCACGCCCAGCAAGUCCCUGCGAGAUUGCCCGCCUACGUGUCUCAGCGGAGGCACAUUUCUAAAAUGUACCAGGUCUCUCGCACCCCGACGCAGGUGGAGGAAAGUGGAGAGGGAGGGGCAUCCUGUACAGAAAUCUCAAUUUAUACUCAAUUGAUGGUUGGCAAGAGUUGGGGCUCGCAGCCAAAGCGAGGCUCCCUCCCUCGCCCAUCCGGUGCUGCCUCCUCGUCCAGAGCAAUUCUGAGGGGUAAAAAUGUUGCCUUCCGUUGAACCUGAAUUUGCCCGCAGAUGCUAGCCUCCGGCCCACAGCGCGGCUGGAGCUUGUCCCCUUCCCCAGCUGUUUCCAGUCUCCGCAUCCGUCUUGUGUUGCUCCAGGUGCUUCAACAGCUCUCAGCGCUCGGUGGUUGGUGAACUGUGGUAAAGUGCACGCAGAAUAAGGUCUACGUGAUUAAGCACCGCCUGGGGGUUGGGGUCUGGAGGCCCAGCUGCACAGAUGAAAGGGAGGCUCAGAGACGUUUGGGACCAACCGAGAUCACACAGCUGAUUAGGAAUAAAAUUCAGGUCAAGCUGAAAGUCGGCCGCCACCGUCCAGCGUGGAUCCCAGGACACCGUGAACGGACUACAGAAGUUGACUUUCGCGUUUUUAAGGAGUGGGGUGCAGGGAAACAAUCCUCCGCCGGCCCUGCGGGCUGAUGCCGACCCUCACCUGCUCCCGCCACGUGGAGAGGUAGAGAGAAGCCCCGGGCCAAGCAGCAUUGAGCCCUGGUCCCUUCUAUUUAAAUAUGAAAUAUUUUGCAUACACUUUUCUAGAUGUACUUAAUAUACACAAUGUUUUAAUGUUUGUGAUUUUUUUGUUUUGCCAAAAAAAUACAAUCAAUCAGAAAUUCA
Molecule: long non-coding RNA, 1343 nt
Filed under: Homo sapiens (human)
Lineage: Eukaryota; Metazoa; Chordata; Mammalia; Primates; Hominidae
Description: POLG divergent transcript (POLG-DT)
Source: RNAcentral